This 492-nucleotide ribosomal RNA is filed under the name uncultured bacterium. RNAcentral describes it as "partial 16S ribosomal RNA". It matches the Rfam family "Bacterial small subunit ribosomal RNA", at positions 29 to 507 of the family's 1533-position model. The record is from RNAcentral.
AGUGAACGCUGGCGGUAGGCCUAACACAUGCAAGUCGAACGGCAGCACAGUAAGAGCUUGCUCUUACGGGUGGCGAGUGGCGGACGGGUGAGGAAUACAUCGGAAUCUACUUUUUCGUGGGGGAUAACGUAGGGAAACUUACGCUAAUACCGCAUACGACCUACGGGUGAAAGCAGGGGAUCUUCGGACCUUGCGCGAUUGAAUGAGCCGAUGUCGGAUUAGCUAGUUGGCGGGGUAAAGGCCCACCAAGGCGACGGUCCGUAGCUGGGCUGAGAGGAUGAUCAGCCACACUGGAACUGAGACACGGUCCAGACUCCUACGGGAGGCAGCAGUGGGGAAUAUUGGACAAUGGGCGCAAGCCUGAUCCAGCCAUACCGCGUGGGUGAAGAAGGCCUUCGGGUUGUAAAGCCCUUUUGUUGGGAAAGAAAAGCAGCAGGUUAAUACCCCGCUGUUCCGACGGUACCCAAAGAAUAAGCACCGGCUAACUUCGUG